AUACGUAGGGGGCAAGCGUUAUCCGGAUUUACUGGGUGUAAAGGGAGCGCAGACGGAAUGGCAAGUCUGAUGUGAAAGGCCGGGGCUCAACCCCGGGACUGCAUUGGACACUGCUAGGCUAGAGUGCAGGUGGGGUAAGCGGAAUGCCUAGUGUAGCGGUGAAAUGCGUAGAUAUUAGGCGGAACACCGGUGGCGAAGGCGGCUUACUGGACUGUAACUGACGUUGAGGCUCGAAAGCGUGGGGAGCGAACAGGAUGGGAUACCCUGGUAGGCCACGCCGUAAACGAUGAAUGCUAGGUGUUGGGUUCCAAUAGGGAUUCGGUGCCGCAGCUAACGCAAUAAGUAUUCCACCUGGGGAGUACGUUCGCAAGAAUGAAACUCAAAUGAAUUGACGGGG
Molecule: ribosomal RNA, 397 nt
Filed under: uncultured bacterium
Lineage: Bacteria
Description: partial 16S ribosomal RNA
Rfam family: Bacterial small subunit ribosomal RNA
Source: RNAcentral